CCCCUAGAUGUUCUGGGCCGCACGCGCGCUACACUGAACAGUUCAACAAGUCUUAACCUUGGCCGAUAGGUCUGGGUAAUCUUUGAACGCUGUUCGUGAUUGGGAUAGACCUUUGCAAUUAUGGGUCUUCAACGAGGAAUUCCUAGUAAACGCAAGUCAUCAGCUUGCAUUGAUUACGUCCCUGCCCUUUGUACACACCGCCCGUCGCUCCUACCGAUUGAGUGAUCAGGUGAACUCUUUGGACACCGCCUCCCGGUGCGUGGAAGUUGAGUAAAUCUUAUUACUUAGAGGAAGGAGAAGUCGUAACA
Molecule: ribosomal RNA, 308 nt
Filed under: uncultured eukaryote
Lineage: Eukaryota
Description: partial 18S ribosomal RNA
Rfam family: Eukaryotic small subunit ribosomal RNA
Source: RNAcentral